UCAAGCAUUAAGAGCGCAGGGUGGAUGCCUUGGCACUGAGAGCCGAUGAAGGACGUGAUAAGCUGCGAAAAGCUUCGGGGAGGAGCAAAUAUCCAUUGAUCCGGAGAUAUCCGAAUGGGGAAACCCACUUGAGCAGACCUCAAGUAUCCAUACGCCAAUCCAUAACGUAUGGAAGGGAACCGGGGGAACUGAAACAUCUAAGUACCCCGAGGAGAAGAAAGAAACCUCGAUUUCCAAAGUAGCGGCGAGCGAAAUGGAAAGAGCCCAAACCGUGGUGCGUGCACCGCGGGGUUGUGGACUGCAUAAGGUACUCGAAUCAAUAGCCGAACAGUUUUGGGAAAUCUGAUCAGAGAGGGUGAAAAUCCCGUAGGCGAAAUUGAUGAGAGGCUGGCAGGAUCCAGAGUACCACGAGACACGGGAAACCUUGUGGGAAGCAGGAGGGACCACCCUCCAAGGCUAAAUACUCCUCAGUGACCGAUAGCGCAUAGUACUGUGAAGGAAAGGUGAAAAGGACCCCGGGAGGGGAGUGAAAGAGAACCUGAAACCCUGUGUUUACAAGCUGUGGGACAUCUUUACAUGAUGAACCGCGUACUUUUUGUAGAACGGUCCGGCGAGUUGCGGAUGCCGGCAAGGUUAAGCACUUAAGGUGUGGAGCCGAAGGGAAACCAAGUCUGAAGAGGGCGUAUAUAGUCAGUAUCCGCAGACCCGAAACCGGGUGAUCUACCCAUGUCCAGGUUGAAGUUGCCGUAAAAGGCAAUGGAGGACCGAACGCACAUCCGUUGAAAAGGGUGGCGAUGAGGUGUGGGUAGGGGAGAAAUUCCAAUCGAACCCGGAGAUAGCUGGUUCUCCUCGAAAUAGCUUUAGGGCUAGCCUCGAUGGAGUCUUACGGAGGUAGAGCACUGAAUUUCUAAGGGGGCGUCAAAGCUUACCAAGGGAUAUCAAACUCCGAAUGCCGUAAAGAUGCUCAUCGGGAGUCAGACUGCACGAGAUAAGUUGGGCAGUCAAAAGGGAAAGAGCCCAGACCUGCUGCUAAGGUCCCAAAGUACGUGUUAAGUGGAAAAGGAUGUGGGAUUUCGAAGACAACUAGGAUGUUGGCUCAGAAGCAGCCACACAUUCAAAGAGUGCGUAAUAGCUCACUAGUCGAGAGGUCCUGCGCCGAAAAUGUCCGGGGCUGAAACACAACACCGAAGCUCAGGAAUGUAUUUAUACAUUGGUAGAGGAGCAUUCUUAAAGGGGCGAAGCAGUACCGAUAAGGAGCUGUGGACUUUUAAGAAGAGAGAAUGCCGGAAUGAGUAGCGAGAUGGAGGUGGGAAUCCUCCAGGCCGAAUAUCUAAGGUUUCCAGGGUAAAGCUGAUCUGCCCUGGGUAAGUCGGGGCCUAAGGCAAGGCUGAGAAGCGUAGCUGAUGGACAACAGGUUUAGAUUCCUGUACCACAUGGUAUCAGAACUGUGGGGACGCAGAGGGAUAAGAUGACCGGGGGACAGAUUCCCGGGCAAGCGCAGGAGGUGUCAGGCAGGCAAAUCCGUCUGACAAGCCAAAGGCGUGACGCGGACCGAACUAAAGUAGGGAAGCAUCCGAUUCCAGCUGCCGAGAAAAGCCGCUAUUGUGUAUCAUGUGCCCGUACCGUAAACCGACACAGGUGGAUGAGGAGAGAAUCCUAAGGCCGGCGGGAGAAGCAUUGUUAAGGAACUCGGCAAAAUGACCCCGUAACUUCGGGAUAAGGGGUGCCAGAGAGAUCUGGCCGCAGAGAAUAGGCUCAAGCAACUGUUUAGCAAAAACACAGGUCUAUGCGAAACCGUAAGGUGAUGUAUAUGGGCUGACGCCUGCCCGGUGCUGGAAGGUUAAGAGGAGAGGUUAGAGCAAUCGAAGCUUUGAAUUGAAGCCCCAGUAAACGGCGGCCGUAACUAUAACGGUCCUAAGGUAGCGAAAUUCCUUGUCGGGUAAGUUCCGACCCGC
Molecule: ribosomal RNA, 1955 nt
Filed under: human gut metagenome
Description: bacterial LSU rRNA
Rfam family: Bacterial large subunit ribosomal RNA
Source: RNAcentral